RNAcentral lists this ribosomal RNA (442 nucleotides) under uncultured bacterium. RNAcentral's name for it is "partial 16S ribosomal RNA". It matches the Rfam family "Bacterial small subunit ribosomal RNA", at positions 338 to 795 of the family's 1533-position model. The record is from RNAcentral.
CCUACGGGAGGCAGCAGUAGGGAAUCUUUCACAAUGGGCGAAAGCCUGAUGGAGCAACGCCGCGUGCAGGAUGAAGGCCUUCGGGUUGUAAACUGCUUUUAUAAGCGAGAAAUAUGAUGGUAACUUAUGAAUAAGGAUCGGCUAACUACGUGCCAGCAGCCGCGGUCAUACGUAGGAUCCGAGCAUUAUCCGGAGUGACUGGGUGUAAAGAGUUGCGUAGGUGGCAUUAUAAGUAGCGAGUGAAAUCUGGUGGCUCAACCAUUCAGACUAUUAGCUAAACUGUUAAGCUCGAGACCGUUAGAGGUAACUGGAAUUUCUAGUGUAGGAGUGAAAUGCGUAGAUAUUAGGAAGAACACCGAUAGCGUAGGCAGGUUACUGGGACGGUUCUGACACUGAGGCACGAAAGCGUAGGGAGCAAACGGGAUUAGAUACCCCUGUAGUC